Molecule: ribosomal RNA, 516 nt
Filed under: uncultured bacterium
Lineage: Bacteria
Description: bacterial SSU rRNA
Rfam family: Bacterial small subunit ribosomal RNA
Source: RNAcentral
AGAGUUUGAUCCUGGCUCAGGACGAACGCUGGCGGCGUGCCUAACACAUGCAAGUCGAACGAAGCAUCUUACCAGAUUCUUCGGAUGAAAGUUUGGUGACUGAGUGGCGGACGGGUGAGUAACGCGUGGGUAACCUGCCCUGUACAGGGGGAUAACAGCUGGAAACGGCUGCUAAUACCGCAUAAGCGCACGAGGAGACAUCUCCUUGUGUGAAAAACUCUGGUGGUACAGGAUGGGCCCGCGUCUGAUUAGCUGGUUGGCGGGGUAACGGCCUACCAAGGCAACGAUCAGUAGCCGGUCUGAGAGGAUGAACGGCCACAUUGGAACUGAGACACGGUCCAAACUCCUACGGGAGGCAGCAGUGGGGAAUAUUGCACAAUGGGGGAAACCCUGAUGCAGCAACGCCGCGUGAGUGAAGAAGUAUUUCGGUAUGUAAAGCUCUAUCAGCAGGGAAGAUAAUGACGGUACCUGACUAAGAAGCUCCGGCUAGAUACGUGCCAGCCGCCGCGGUAAUAC